This 1611-nucleotide ribosomal RNA is filed under the name Triticum aestivum (bread wheat). Its description in RNAcentral is "partial small subunit ribosomal RNA". Lineage: Eukaryota; Viridiplantae; Streptophyta; Magnoliopsida; Poales; Poaceae. The record is from RNAcentral.
AUGAGCAGCGGCGGCAGCAUGGAUCACCAUGACACCGCCGAUCCAUUCUCCUACUACGACCAACCUGCAGGGUCCAUGGAUGGCGACCACAUGUCCUCUCUAAAAGAGCUCACCGAUGGCUUCUCCGAUGAGCGCACCCUCGGCACCGGUGCCUACGGCAAAGUCUACAUGGGUGUACAUGAAUAUGGGAAGAAGAUUGCUGUCAAGAUGUUCCACGACGACACGCCCACACAUGCUGAUGGUGGUCAUGAGCAGUUCCAGAAGGUGUUCAGCAACCUUAAGAGGCUCCGACACCAGAACAUCGUGAAGAUGCUUGGGUACUGCUAUGAAACUCAGCAAAAACACAUGGAGUAUGACGGGAGAAAGAUUUUCAGUGAAAAGACACAGAGAGCGCUCAGUUCCGAGUAUAUGCACAACGGAGACCUUGACAAGUAUCUUCUUUCUGAUAAAUACAAAGGAGAUACUUGGCAGACAUGCUACGGAAUGAUUAAGGGGAUUUGCAAGGGUUUGAAAUACCUUCACGAGGACUUGGAAUCUCCUAUUUAUCAUUUGGAUCUAAAGCCAUCCAAUGUGUUGCUGGAUGAGAAACUUGUGCCGAAGCUCGCGGAUUACGGCUUGUCAAGGCUAUCUGGAGAUGAGCAGACACAAAUCAUGAAAUGUUUCAUGGGAACAAUUAUGUUUUCAUUAAAUCCACCGUGUCGGUACGUGCCACCAGAAUACAUAUUCAGCUUGGGGGCUAUCAUCAUAAAGAUACUUGCAGGACCGAUGAGUUACUCAAAACGUGCCGAGAUUUCCACCCAGCAAUUCGUUGAGCUUGUACAUGGAAAUUGGAGGAAUAAGCUCCACGCUACAUCAACAUAUGCAUUGGAGGUAUAUUCUGAGCAAGUAAGGAGCUGCAUAGAUAUAGCUUUAAGUUGUGUAGACGCCGACCAAUGCAAAAGGCCGAGCAUUGGAGAAAUUAUUGAUAAGUUAAUUCAGAUGGAGACUACGAUUCACAAAAUGACCGAAUCUCCAGGAACAUCAAUGGAUCAGAUGGGCUCCUACUUGCUGGAUGCAUCUGAAAAGAGAGGAAGAGAGUUGUUAGGUGUCCAUCCCCUCCAGCUCCGAUUCCCCUUUGAACCGAAUAAGUUGAUCCCCUGCCAACUUAAUCUAACGAACAACUCAGAUGAGUAUGUCGACUUUAGGUGUGUCCCAAAAAACCCCAAGAGUUUCUUGAAUGGACUGUCGCGGCUCCAUGGAAGCAUGCUGCCAAACACCAGUUGCAUAUACGUUGUAACGAUGGAAAAGCACCAGCAACCACCUGCAAACAUGGUCACUCUUGAUGUUAUCCUAGAGAGCUGGGUAGGAUAUAGAUACACGUGUGGGUGGGGCAUGGAUGACUACCUCUCUACGGGGUCACAAGAGGAUCUGAGCGGCUGUCCGGUGCAAAAGGUAACACUGAAGGCUGUUUGUGAGCCAGCAAGCAAGAUGAUGGCAUCUGAGGGAUGGCACUUUGUCGGAAAUACUAUUCGAUGGAUGUGCAUCCAACGAAGCCUUGGAGAGAGUGAUGUCGCUGAGACCUGUAAAGGAGUCAGCACCAUGUGCUGGAGACCAUUGGAUGCUUUCUGCUAA